This 443-nucleotide long non-coding RNA is filed under the name Phasianus colchicus (ring-necked pheasant). Its description in RNAcentral is "lncRNA (ENSPCLG00000005519.1)". The record is from RNAcentral. Lineage: Eukaryota; Metazoa; Chordata; Aves; Galliformes; Phasianidae.
AGAUGAGAUUUUCAGCGUUGGUUACCUCAGGCUUCAUGUCCCUUGUCUUCCCAGGGUAAUAGGUUCAAUGAACUGCCUUUGUACCUUGACUGCCAUAGGCCUUGAUACAGACAUUAUUUUCCAUCUGAUAACUUCUGCCUUUCACGUACUUCGGACUAUAUGCUACUUGCACAUUGAAACAUUUGGAUUUGGACUUUCAACUUUUAUUCUUUUCAGUACACCCUUGUCCUUAGACUGAGGUCUAAAAAUCAAAUUAAGUCAAUUAAAAACUUCUCCUGAUGCUGUCAGAGACAUACGGGAUUGUCUGAACCAAGAGAAUGUCAGCAGUUUUUGUCACCAUGAAAUGCCUCCAAAUGAUAGGAUACACACCUGGCAUACAGCCUGAAGGAAUCAUAAAUCUAAAGGGAAAGGUAAGUGAAAAUAAAUGUGAAAUGCCAAUAGCA